GAGAGUGGCGCACGGGUGAGUAACGCGUAUGCAACCUACCUGUAACAGAGGGAUAGCCCAUAGAAAUGUGGAUUAAUACCUCAUAGUUCUAUUAAGCCGCAUGGUUUGAUAGAUAAAACUCCGGUGGUUACAGAUGGGCAUGCGUGACAUUAGCUAGUUGGUGAGGUAACGGCUCACCAAGGCAACGAUGUCUAGGGGUUCUGAGAGGAUGAUCCCCCACACUGGUACUGAGACACGGACCAGACUCCUACGGGAGGCAGCAGUGAGGAAUAUUGGUCAAUGGGCGCAAGCCUGAACCAGCCAUCCCGCGUGCAGGAUGACGGCCCUAUGGGUUGUAAACUGCUUUUAUACACCAAGAAAAACUCCCACGUGUGGGAGCCCGACGGUAGUGUAUGAAUAAGCAUCGGCUAACUCCGCGCCAGCAGCCGCGGUAAUACGGAGGAUGCAAGCGUUAUCCGGAUUCAUUGGGUUUAAAGGGUGCGUAGGCGGCUUUUUAAGUCAGUGGUGAAAUCCUGUCGCUUAACGAUAGAAUUGCCAUUGAUACUGAAGAGCUUGAGUUUAGUUGAGGUAAGCGGAAUGUGUAGUGUAGCGGUGAAAUGCUUAGAUAUUACACAGAACACCGAUUGCGAACGCAGCUUACUAAACUAACACUGACGCUGAUGCACGAAAGCGUGGGGAGCGAACAGGAUUAGAUACCCUGGUAGUCCACGCCGUAACGAUGCUCACUCGCUGUAUGCGAUACACAGUAUGCGCCAAGCGAAAGCAU
RNAcentral lists this ribosomal RNA (766 nucleotides) under uncultured bacterium. RNAcentral's name for it is "bacterial SSU rRNA". It matches the Rfam family "Bacterial small subunit ribosomal RNA", at positions 91 to 860 of the family's 1533-position model. The record is from RNAcentral.